AGCUUGCUCUGUGGAUCAGUGGCGAACGGGUGAGUAACACGUGAGCAACCUGCCCCUGACUCUGGGAUAAGCGCUGGAAACGGCGUCUAAUACCGGAUAUGAGCUGCGAAGGCAUCUUCAGCAGUUGGAAAGAUUUUUCGGUCUGGGAUGGGCUCACGGCCUAUCAGCUUGUUGGUGAGGUAAUGGCUCACCAAGGCGUCGACGGGUAGCCGGCCUGAGAGGGUGACCGGCCACACUGGGACUGAGACACGGCCCAGACUCCUACGGGAGGCAGCAGUGGGGAAUAUUGCACAAUGGGCGGAAGCCUGAUGCAGCAACGCCGCGUGAGGGAUGACGGCCUUCGGGUUGUAAACCUCUUUUAGCAGGGAAGAAGCGAAAGUGACGGUACCUGCAGAAAAAGCGCCGGCUAACUACGUGCCAGCAGCCGCGGUAAUACGUAGGGCGCAAGCGUUAUCCGGAAUUAUUGGGCGUAAAGAGCUCGUAGGCGGUUUGUCGCGUCUGCUGUGAAAUCCCGAGGCUCAACCUCGGGCCUGCAGUGGGUACGGGCAGACUAGAGUGCGGUAGGGGAGAUUGGAAUUCCUGGUGUAGCGGUGGAAUGCGCAGAUAUCAGGAGGAACACCGAUGGCGAAGGCAGAUCUCUGGGCCGUAACUGACGCUGAGGAGCGAAAGGGUGGGGAGCAAACAGGCUUAGAUACCCUGGUAGUCCACCCCGUAAACGUUGGGAACUAGUUGUGGGGUCC
This 740-nucleotide ribosomal RNA is filed under the name Microbacterium oleivorans. RNAcentral's name for it is "bacterial SSU rRNA". It matches the Rfam family "Bacterial small subunit ribosomal RNA", at positions 77 to 830 of the family's 1533-position model. The record is from RNAcentral. Lineage: Bacteria; Bacillati; Actinomycetota; Actinomycetes; Micrococcales; Microbacteriaceae.